RNAcentral lists this long non-coding RNA (258 nucleotides) under Olea europaea subsp. europaea. Lineage: Eukaryota; Viridiplantae; Streptophyta; Magnoliopsida; Lamiales; Oleaceae. The record is from RNAcentral.
ACUUCGAGCCCCGAAAAGCUAAUAGUAGGUUUUUCUCUCCAUUGAAACAAUACGGUCGUUAUACUCAUUAUUAAACUUGUUGAAGAGAUGAAAUAUAAUCAAGGUAUAUCGUUUUGAUCAGAGGUUGAAUCGAUCAUCAGAAGAAGAAUUAUGCCAAAAAUCAAACUUCCAUCAAAGAGAAGCAAAUGGAAGGCUUCUAUAAAAAUUCUCGUAGAAUCAAGAAUGAAGUUUUCAUUCUGUGCAAGGAAGCAAGCAAUU